Molecule: long non-coding RNA, 5099 nt
Filed under: Citrus x clementina
Lineage: Eukaryota; Viridiplantae; Streptophyta; Magnoliopsida; Sapindales; Rutaceae
Description: Citrus clementina (C. clementina) long non-coding RNA (CCLE_LNC002209)
Source: RNAcentral
GCCUUCGGGCGGUUAUUUUUUGGCGCGGCUGUUCCCGCGGCCUAUUUUUGGCACACGGAGAUGCCUCGCAAGGUCUCGCGCCAUUCCGAGUCCGGCGGACGAAGCUGGCCAGCCCCACCCCCCAAGGCUAUAGCCCACCCGUUUUUGUGGGCUUUUUCCGCUGGACGAACUUGGCGCCCCGGCCUUCGGGCGGUUAUUUUUAUGCGGGGCUGUGCCCGCGGCCUAUUUUAUGCACGCGGAGGCACCUCAUAAAGUGUCACGCCAUUCCGAGUCCGGCGGACGAAGUUGGCCCGCCCCACCCCCCAAGGCUAUAGCCCACCCGUUUUUGUGGCCUUUUUCCGCUGGACGAACUUGGCGCCCCGGCCUUCGGGCGGUUAUUUUUGGGCGCGGCUGUGCCCGCGGCCUAUUUUUGGCACACAGAGGCGCCUCGUAAAGUCUAGCGCCAUUCCGAGUCCGGCGGACGAAGUUGGCCAGCCCCACCCCCCAAGGCUAUAGCCCGCCUGUUUUUGUGGGCUUUUUCCGCUGGACGAACUUGGCGCCCCGGCCUUCGGGCAGUUAUUUUUGGGCACGGCUGUGCCCGCGGCCUAUUUUUGGCACACGGAGGUGCCUCGCAAAGUCUCGCGCCAUUCCGAGUCCGGCGGACGAAGUUGGCCAGCCCCACCCCCCCAGGCUAUAGCCCACCCGUUUUUGUGGCCUUUUUCCGCUGGACGAACUUGGCGCCCCGCCUUUCGGGCGGUUAUUUUUGGACGCGACGGUGCCUGCGGCCUCUUUUUGGCACACGGAGGCACCUCACAAAGUCUCGCGCCAUUCCGAGUCCGGCGGACGAAGUUCGCCAGCACCACCCCCCAAGGCUAUAGCCCGCCCGUUUUUGUGGGCUUUUUCCGCUGGACGAACUUGGCGCCCCGGCUUUCGGGCAGUUAUUUUUGGGCGCGACUGUGUCCGCGGCCUAUUUUUAGUACACGGAGGUGCCUCGCAAAGUCUCGCGCCAUUCCGAGUCCGGCGGACGAAGUUGGCCGGCCCCACCCCCCCAGGCUAUAGCCCACCCUUUUUUGUGGCCUUUUUCCGCUGGACGAACUUGGCGCCCCGGCUUUCGGGCGGUUAUUUUUGGGCGCGACUGUGCCCGCGGCCUAUUUUUGGCACACGGAGGCGCCUCACAAAGUCUCGCGCCAUUCCGAGUCCGGCGGACGAAGUUGGCCAGCCCCACCCCCUAAGGCUAUAGCCCGCCCGUUUUUGUGGGCUUUUUCCGCUAGACGAACUUGGCGCCCCGGCCUGCGGGCGGUUGUUUUUGGGCACGGCUGUGCCCGCGGCCUAUUUUUGGCACACAGAGGUGCCUCGCAAAGUCUCGCUCCAUUCCGAGUCCGGCGGUCGAAGUUGGCCAGCCCCACCCCCCAAGGCUAUAGCCAACCCGUUUUUGUGGCCUUUUUCCGCUGGACAAACUUGGCGCCCCGGCUUUCGGGCGGUUAUUUUUGGGCGCGACUUUGCCCGCAGCCUAUUUUUGGCACACGGAGGCACCUCACAAGUCUCGCGCCAUUCCGAGUCCGGCGGACGAAGUUGGCUAGCACCACCCCCAAAGGCUAUAGCCCGCCCGUUUUUGUGGGCUUUUUCCGCUGGACGAACUUGGCGUCCCGGCCUUCGGGCGGUUAUUUUUUGGCGCGGCUGUGCCCGCGGCCUAUUUUUGGCACACGGAGAUGCCUCGCAAGGUCGCGCGCCAUUCCGAGUCCGGCGGACGAAGCUGGCCAGCCCCACCCCCCAAGGCUAUAGCCCACCCGUUUUUGUGGCCUUUUUCCGCUGGACGAACUUGGCGCCCCGGCCUUCGGGCGGUUAUUUUUGGGCACGGCUGUGUCCGCGGCCUAUUUUUGGCACACGGAGGCCGCUCAGAAAGUCUCGCGCCAUUGCGAGUCCGGCGGACGAAGGGGGCCAGCCCAACCCCCCAAGGCUAUAGCCCACCCGUUUUUGUGGCCUUUUUCCGCUGGACGAACUUGGCGCCCCGGCAUUCGGGUGGUUAUUUUUGUCCGCGUUUGUGCCCGCGGCCUAUUUUUGGCACACGGAGAAAGCUCGCAAAAUCUCGCGCCAUUCCGAGUCCGGCGGACGAAGAUGGCCAGGCCCACCCCCCAAGGCUAUAGCCUACUCGUUUUUGUGGCCUUUUUCCGCUGGACGAACUUGGCGCCCCGGCCUUCGGGCGGUUAUUCUUGGGCGCCGCUUUGCCCGCGGCCUGUUUUUGGCACACGGAGGCCCCUCGCAAAGUCUCGCAGCAUUCCGAGUCUGGCAGACGAAGUGGGCCAGCCCCACCCCCCAAGGCUAUAGCCCACCCGUUUUUGUGGCCUUUUUCCGCUGGACGAACUUGGCGCCCCGGCCUUCGCGGGCUUAUUUUUGGGCGCGUCUUUUCCCACGGCCAAUUUUUGGCACACAGAGGCCCCUCGCAAAGUCUCGCGGCAUUCCGAGUCCGGCGGACGAAGUUGGCCAGCCCCACCCCCCAAGGCUAUAGCCCACCCGUUUUUGUGGCCUUUUUCCGCUGGACGAACUCGGCGCCCCGGCCUUCGGGCAGUUAUUUUUGGGCACGGCUGUGCCCGCGGCCUAUUUUUGGCACACGGAGGCACCUCGUAAAGUCUCGAGCCAUUACGAGUCCGGCGGACGAAGUUGGCGAGCCCCACCCCCGAAGGCUAUAGCCCACCCGUUUUUGUGGCCUUUUUCCGCUUGACGAGCUUGGCGACCCGGCCUUCGGGCAGUUAUUUUUGGGCGCGGCUUUGACCGCGGCCUAUUUUUGGCACACGGAGGCCCCUUGCAAAAUCUUGCGGUAUUCCGAGUCCGGCGGACGAAGUUGGCCAGCCCCACCCCCCAAGGCUAUAGCCCACCCGUUUUUGUGGCCUUUUUCCGCUGGACGAACUUGGCGCCCCGGCCUUCGGGUGGUUAUUUUUGGGCGCGGCUUUGACCACACCCUAUUUUUGGCACACGGAGGCCCCUCGUAAAGUCUCGCGCCAUUCCGAGUCUGGCGGACGAAGUGGGCCAUCCCCACCCCCCAAGGCUAUAGCCCACCCGUUUUUGUGGCCUUUUACCGCUGGACGAACUUGGCGCCCCGUUCUACGGGCGGUUAUUUUUGGGCGCGGCUUUGCCCGUGACCUAUUUUUGGCACAGGGAGGCCCCUCGCAAUGUCUCGCUGCAUUCCGAGUACGGCGGACGAAGUUGGCCAGCCCCACCCCCCAAGGCUAUAGCCCACCCGUUUUUGUGGCCUUUUUCCGCUGGACGAACUUGGCGCUCCGUUCUACGGGCGGUUAUUUUUGGGCGCGGCUUUGCCCGCGGCCUAUUUUUGGUACACGGAGGCCCCUCGCAAAGUCUCGCGGCAUUCCGAGUCCGGCGGACGAAGUUGGCCAGCCCCACCCCCCAAGGCUAUAGCCCACCUGUUUUUGUGGCCUUUUUCCGCUGGACGAACUAGGCGCCCCGGCCUUCGGGCGGUUAUUUUUGGGCGCGGCUUUGUCUGCGGCCUAUUUUUGGCACACGGAGGCCCCUCGCAAUGUCUCGCGGCAUUUCGAGUCCGGCGGACGAAGUUGGCCAGCCCCAGCCCCCAAGGCUAUAGCCCACCCGUUUUUGUGGCCUUUUACCGCUGGACGAACUUGGCGCCCCGGCCUUCGGGCAUUUAUUUCUGGGCGCGGCUUUGCCCACGGCCUAUUUUUGGCACACGGAGGCCCCUCACAAAGUCUCGCGGCAUUCCGAGCCCGGCGGACGAAGUGGGCCAUCCCCACCCCCCAAGGCUAUAGCCCACCCGUUUUUGUGGCCUUUUUCCGCUGGACGAACUUGGCGCCCCGGCCUUCGGGCGGUUAUUUUUGGGCGCGGCUUUGCCCGCGGCCUAAUCUUGGCACACGGAGGCCCCUCGCAAAGUCUCGCGGCAUUCCGAGUCCGCCGGACGAAGUUGGCCAGCCCCACCCCCCAAGGCUAUAGCCCACCCGUUUUUGUGGCCUUUUUCCGCUGGACGAACUUGGCGCCCCGGCCUUCGGGCAGUUAUUUUUGGGCGAGGAUUUGCCCGCGGCCUAUUUUUGGUACACGGAGGCCCCUCACAAUGUCUCGCGGCAUUUCGAGUCCGGCGGACGAAGUCGGCCAGCCCCACCCCCCAAGGCUAUAGCCCACCCGUUUUUGAGGCCUUUUACCGCUGGAUGAACUUGGCGCCCCGGCCUUCGGGUGGUUACUUUUGUGCGCAGCUUUGCCCACGGCCUAUUUUUGGCACACGGCGGCCCCUCGUAAAGUCUCGCGGCAUUCCGAUCCCGGCGGACGAAGUGGGCCAGCUCCACCCCCCAAGGCUAUAGCCCACCCGUUUUUGUGGCCUUUUUCCGCUGGACGAAGUUGGCGCCCCGGUCUUCGGGCGGUUAUUUUUGGGCGCGGCUUUGACCGCGGCCUAGUCUUGGCACACGGAGGCCCCUCGCAUAGUCUCGCGGCAUUCCGAGUCCGGCGGACGAAGUGGGCCAGCCCCACCCCCCAAGGCUAUAGCCCACCCGUUUUUGUGGCCUUUUUCCGCUGGUCGAACUUGGCGCCCCGGCCUUCGGGCGGUUAUUUUUGGGCGCGGCUUUGCCCGCGGCCUAUUUUUGGCACACGGAGGCCCAUCGCAAUGUCUCGCGGCAUUUCGAGUCCGGCGGACGAACUUGGCCAGCCCCACCCCCCAAGGCUAUAGCCCACCCGUUUUUGUGGCCUUUUACCGCUGGACGAACUUGGCGCCCCGGCCUUUGGGCGGUUAUUUUUGGGCGCGGCUUUGUCCGCGGUCUAUUUUUGGUGCACGGAGGCCCCUCGCAAAGUCUCGCGCCAUUCCGAGUCCGGUGGACGAUCUUGGCCAGCCCCACCCCCCAAGGCUAUAGCCCACCCGUUUUUGUGGCCUUUUUCUGCUCGACGAACUUGGCGCCCUGGCCUUCGGUCGCUUAUUUUUGGGUGAGCCUGUGCCCGCGGCCUAUUUUUGGCACACGCAGGCCCCUCGCAGGAGUCUCGCGCCAUUCCGAGUCCGGCGGACGAACUUGGCCAGCUCCACCCCCCAAGGCUAUAGCCCACCCGUUUGGCGCCCCGGCCUUUGGUCGCUUAUUUUUGGGCGCGAAAAUGCCCGUGGCCCAUUUUUGGAACACGGA